This 293-nucleotide ribosomal RNA is filed under the name uncultured bacterium. RNAcentral's name for it is "partial 16S ribosomal RNA". It matches the Rfam family "Bacterial small subunit ribosomal RNA", at positions 505 to 796 of the family's 1533-position model. The record is from RNAcentral.
GUGCCAGCCGCCGCGGUAAUACGAAGGUCCCGAGCGUUGUUCGGAAUCACUGGGCGUAAAGGGAGCGUAGGCGGCGUGGUAAGUCAGAUGUGAAAUCCCGGGGCUCAACCCCGGAACUGCAUCCGAUACUGCCGUGCUUAGAGGAUUGGAGAGGUAGCUGGAAUUCUUGGUGUAGCAGUGAAAUGCGUGGAUAUCAAGAGGAACACUCGUGGCGAAAGCGAGCUACUGGACAACUCCUGACGCUGAGGCUCGAAGGCCAGGGUAGCGAAAGGGAUUAGAAACCCGGGUAGUCC